GGUAUGGGAUGAGCUUGCGUCCGAUUAGCUAGUUGGCGGGGCAACGGCCCACCAAGGCGACGAUCGGUAGCCGGCCUGAGAGGGUGAUCGGCCACAUUGGGACUGAGAUACGGCCCAGACUCCUACGGGAGGCAGCAGUAGGGAAUAUUGCACAAUGGGGGGAACCCUGAUGCAGCAACGCCACGUGUGGGAAGAAGCAUUUCGGUGUGUAAACCACUGUCGUGAGGGAAUAAGGCCUGUUCUAGGACAGGAUUGAAUGUACCUCGAAAGGAAGCACCGGCAAACUUCGUGCCAGCAGCCGCGGUGAUACGAGGGGUGCAAGCGUUGUUCGGAAUCACUGGGCGUAAAGGGAGCGUAGGCGGAGAUUCAAGCGGAUUGUACAAUCCCGGGGCCCAACCCCGGACCUGCAGUCCGAACUGGAUCUCUUGGAUAGUUCAGGGGCAGGC
This 446-nucleotide ribosomal RNA is filed under the name uncultured bacterium. Its description in RNAcentral is "bacterial SSU rRNA". It matches the Rfam family "Bacterial small subunit ribosomal RNA", at positions 217 to 662 of the family's 1533-position model. The record is from RNAcentral.